UCCUACGGGGGGCAGCAGUCGGGAAUAUUGCACAAUGGAGGAAACUCUGAUGCAGUGACGCCGCGUGCAGGAAGGAGGUUUUCGGAUUGUAAACUGCUUUAGAUGGGGAAGAAGAAAGACUGUACCCAUAGAAUAAGCUCCGGCUAACUACGAGCCAGCAGCCGCGGUAAUACGUAGGGAGCAAGCGUUAUCCGGAUUUAUUGGGUGUAAAGGGUGCGUAGACGGGAAUUUAAGUUAGUUGUGAAAUCCCUCGGCUUAACUGAGGAACUGCAACUAAAACUGAAUUGCUGUAGUGCGGGAGAGAA
Molecule: ribosomal RNA, 305 nt
Filed under: uncultured bacterium
Lineage: Bacteria
Description: bacterial SSU rRNA
Rfam family: Bacterial small subunit ribosomal RNA
Source: RNAcentral